CCAUUUUUAGCUUUCUUUGGCGUUAAAACUAGACAUAUAAAUACAGCCCAAAACAGCUCACUUAGUAUGUAGGAGCAAACCUUAUUAUGGUGAAGGCUACAACUAACACAACUAUACGGGUCAUCUUCUUUUGUCACUGCAACUUGUGAGCUCUCUCUAUUUCUCCCAUAUGAGUGUUUGUGUUACAUCUACACAUAUAGUGGUCAGUAAUGAAACAUUGUUUGCAGGUGUAGCAUUUUCAAGGUUGCCAGGAGCAGAAGUCAGCAGUUUGGUUCAAGAACACUGUUCUGCUAACGCUGACUGCAAUAUACCCGAAUGCAUUUCAGGCACAGUUGUUUGUAUUGACGACAAAUGCACAUGUAUGUUGGUCGUCGG
RNAcentral lists this long non-coding RNA (375 nucleotides) under Prunus persica (peach). Its description in RNAcentral is "long non-coding RNA (PPER_LNC001314)". The record is from RNAcentral. Lineage: Eukaryota; Viridiplantae; Streptophyta; Magnoliopsida; Rosales; Rosaceae.